This 253-nucleotide ribosomal RNA is filed under the name uncultured Leptolinea sp. RNAcentral's name for it is "partial 16S ribosomal RNA". It matches the Rfam family "Bacterial small subunit ribosomal RNA", at positions 524 to 776 of the family's 1533-position model. The record is from RNAcentral. Lineage: Bacteria; Bacillati; Chloroflexota; Anaerolineae; Anaerolineales; Anaerolineaceae.
CACGUAGGAUCCGAGCGUUAUCCGAAUUUACUGGGCGUAAAGCGCGUGUAGGCGGUUUAGUAAGUUGGAUGUGAAAGCUCCUGGCUCAACUGGGAGAGGCCGUUCAAAACUACUAAACUAGAGGACGGUAGAGGGAGGUGGAAUUCCCGGUGUAGUAGUGAAAUGCGUAGAUAUCGGGAGGAACACCAGUGGCGAAGGCGGCCUCCUGGACCGUUCCUGACGCUCAAACGCGAAAGCUAGGGGAGCGAACGGG